Molecule: ribosomal RNA, 563 nt
Filed under: uncultured Sebacinales
Lineage: Eukaryota; Fungi; Basidiomycota; Agaricomycetes; Sebacinales
Description: eukaryotic LSU rRNA
Rfam family: Eukaryotic large subunit ribosomal RNA
Source: RNAcentral
UAGUAACGGCGAGUGAAGAGGGAAAAGCUCAAAUUUUGAAUCUGGUGUCUUUGACUCCCGAGUUGUAAUCUAGAGAGGUGUUUUCCGCGUUGGACCGUGUACAAGUUCCCUGGAACGGGGCGUCAUAGAGGGUGAGAAUCCCGUAUAUGCCACGGACUGCCAAUGCUCUGUGAUACACUCUCAACGAGUCGAGUUGUUUGGGAAUGCAGCUCAAAAUGGGUGGUAAAUUCCAUCUAAAGCUAAAUAUUGGCGAGAGACCGAUAGCGAACAAGUACCGUGAGGGAAAGAUGAAAAGCACUUUGGAAAGAGAGUGAAACAGUACGUGAAAUUGUUGAAAGGGAAGCGUUUGAAGUCAGUCACGUCUGUCGGAAUUCAGCCUGGCUUCUGCCUGGUGUACUUUCCGUCCGACGGGUCAGCAUCAAUUUCGACCGAGGGAAAAAGACGUGAGGAAUGUGGCUGUCUUCGGGCAGUGUUAUAGACUCGCGUUGUAUGUCUCGGUUGGGAUUGAGGAACGCAGCGCGCCUAUUGGCCGGGGGUUCGCGCCCCUCGGUACGCGCUUAGGA